AGAAAAAAAAAAAAGAAAAUUUGAAGAAAUUUAAAGCACAAAGGUAUUAAUAUGGUGUCGUAAACAAAAAACUAGAUGGUUAAUGCCUUUGCUUGUCCUGCUCUUGUGAAUGUUGGAUACAAAAUGUUAUGAUGAACCAUAUUUAGUACAUAUAUUAGUUAGUAGCUUGAACUUCCUGUUGAAUGCAAAAGCAUAACCAGUUUGCUAAGUUCGACACUAGGCUGCCAAGUUCGACACCAGGCUGCCAAGUUCGACACCAGGCUGCCAAGUCUUGAAAUUUUUGUGCCUGAAGCAGGGUAAUGCGAUCAGGGCCAUUGUUUGUACCUGAUCUUGAUCCACUCUAAUUAUUCAAAUGACUUCUCAGAAUUUCAUCCACAAUUCCGCAUCAUGAAAUUGCUUGAAUUUCAAAGGGUUCUGAAAUUGUCUUAAUUUGGUAGGGAAACUAUAUGACAGAAUCAUACCACUUUUCCUUAAUUUGUCCCUUUCUUCCUUUUGUUUUUCCCCAUCCACUUUUCUGUUCUUGCACAAUUUUAAUGAUUUAGGCUAUAUUACUUCUAUAAUGAUUUUAAUUUGUCUUUUUUUUUUUUUCUGAUAAAAAGGUAGGAAAAGCUACAUCAUUUUUGUUGCCCAGUUAGAUUGUUUCUAUUUUACACACAUACAGAGGCAUUGUUCCUUGGCUCACUUAAAUACAACCUGUGAGUUGAGACAUUAUGCUUAAAAGACGAGCUUAAAUUGUUUGUGAUGUAUGCAGGUAUGGGGAGGCAAUCCGGCAA
RNAcentral lists this unclassified non-coding RNA (773 nucleotides) under Hevea brasiliensis (rubber tree). The record is from RNAcentral. Lineage: Eukaryota; Viridiplantae; Streptophyta; Magnoliopsida; Malpighiales; Euphorbiaceae.